RNAcentral lists this long non-coding RNA (418 nucleotides) under Brassica napus (rape). Its description in RNAcentral is "long non-coding RNA (BNAP_LNC004176)". Lineage: Eukaryota; Viridiplantae; Streptophyta; Magnoliopsida; Brassicales; Brassicaceae. The record is from RNAcentral.
AGGAAAGCAAAUCUGAGCCGUCUACUAGCUGACACAAACGGCGCUCUGGAUUCCCUAUCCAACUAAAGAUCUUCCGCCUCUACAUACAGAAAAACGUAAGCCGGUGAGAUGGUUCAGCUUCUUUCUACUUCACUCUAUAAAAGCCAUUAUCCUCAACCAUUUUUGCAGGACCAUUAACUCCAACUCAGAACUUUGGUCUUUAAGCGUCAUAAAGAAGAAUCCAAAAGGCUAGGUGUUUCUUAGAUUGGCGGCUUCCGAUUUGGAAAGGUAUAGAUCAAAACUUAAAACUCUCCUCAGAUUCUUAAGGAGAGAGUUUCCAUCGUCGGUACCGAUUUCUUCAAUCAAAGAAGAUGGCCAAAAAACUUAAGGAGAGAGUUUCCAGAUUUGAGGCAUUUUUUUUAGAAAAGGUUGAUUUAAG